RNAcentral lists this ribosomal RNA (423 nucleotides) under uncultured bacterium. RNAcentral describes it as "partial 16S ribosomal RNA". It matches the Rfam family "Bacterial small subunit ribosomal RNA", at positions 359 to 773 of the family's 1533-position model. The record is from RNAcentral.
GAAUAUUGGACAAUGGGGGGAACCCUGCUCCAGCCAUGCCGCGUGUGUGAAGAAGGCCUUUUGGUUGUAAAGCACUCUAAGCGAGGCGGUAGCACCUCUACUUAAUACCUAUAGAUAGUGGACGCUACUCGCACACUAAGCACCCGCGAAUUCUGUGCCAGCCGCCGCGGUAAUACAGAGGGUGCAAGCGUUAAUCGGAUUUACUGGGCGUAAAGCGCGCGUAGGUGGCCAAUUAAGUCAAAUGUGAAAUCCCCGAGCUUAACUUGGGAAUUGCAUUCGAUACUGGUUGGCUAGAGUAUGGGAGAGGAUGGUAGAAUUCCAGGUGUAGCGGUGAAAUGCGUAGAGAUCUGGAGGAAUACCGAUGGCGAAGGCAGCCAUCUGGCCUAAUACUGACACUGAGGUGCGAAAGCAUGGGGAGCAAAC